This 450-nucleotide ribosomal RNA is filed under the name uncultured bacterium. RNAcentral's name for it is "bacterial SSU rRNA". It matches the Rfam family "Bacterial small subunit ribosomal RNA", at positions 330 to 794 of the family's 1533-position model. The record is from RNAcentral.
GCCAGACUCCUACGGGAGGCAGCAGUGGGGAAUAUUGCACAAUGGGGGAAACCCUGAUGCAGCGACGCCGCGUGAGCGAAGAAGUAUUUCGGUAUGUAAAGCUCUAUCAGCAGGGAAGAAAAAAAUGACGGUACCUGAGUAAGAAGCACCGGCUAAAUACGUGCCAGCAGCCGCGGUAAUACGUAUGGUGCAAGCGUUAUCCGGAUUUACUGGGUGUAAAGGGAGCGUAGGCGGCGCGUUAAGUCUGAUGUGAAAACCCGAGGCUCAACCACGGGAGUGCAUUGGAAACUGGCGGGCUGGAGUGCCGGAGAGGUAAGCGGAAUUCCUAGUGUAGCGGUGAAAUGCGUAGAUAUAAGGAAGAACACCAGUGGCGAAGGCGGAUGACUGGACGGCAACUGACGGUGAGGCGCGAAAGCGUGGGGAGCAAACAGGAUUAGAUACCCCAGUAGC